This 300-nucleotide ribosomal RNA is filed under the name uncultured bacterium. RNAcentral's name for it is "bacterial SSU rRNA". It matches the Rfam family "Bacterial small subunit ribosomal RNA", at positions 496 to 795 of the family's 1533-position model. The record is from RNAcentral.
GCUAACUCCGGGCAGGGGGCGGCGGGAAUACGGGGGGGGCAAGCGUUACUCGGAAUCACGAGGCGUAAAGAGCAUGUAGGCGGAUUAAUAAGUUUGAAGUGAAAUCCUAUAGCUUAACUAUAGAACUGCUUUGAAAACUGUUAAUCUAGAAUGUGGGAGAGGUAGAUGGAAUUUCUGGUGUAGGGGUAAAAUCCGUAGAGAUCAGAAGGAAUACCGAUUGCGAAGGCGAUCUACUGGAACAUUAUUGACGCUGAGAUGCGAAAGCGUGGGGAGCAAACAGGUUUAGAUACCCCGGUAGUC